AGAGUUUGAUCAUGGCUCAGGAUGAACGCUGGCGGCGUGCUUAAUACAUGCAAGUCGAACGGGGGUCCGCAAGGAUCCUAGUGGCGAACGGGUGAGUAACGCGUUGGUGACCUACCCCAAAGUGUGGGAUAACAGUCCGAAAGGAUUGCUAAUACCGCAUGUGGUCAUUGGAUUUAGAACCUGAUGACUAAAGGAGCAAUUCGCUUUGGGAGGGACCUGCGUCCCAUCAGCUAGUUGGUGAGGUAAUGGCUCACCAAGGCUACGACGGGUAGGGGACCUGAGAGGGUGGCCCCCCACAAUGGAACUGAAACACGGUCCAUACACCUACGGGUGGCAGCAGUAGGGGAUAUUGCUCAAUGGGCGAAAGCCUGAAGCAGCAACGCCGCGUGUGUGAUGAAGGCCUUCGGGUCGUAAAGCACUUUUCUGGGAGAUGAGAAAGGACAGUAUCCCAGGAAUAAGUCUCGGCUAACUACGUGCCAGCAGCCGCGGUAAUUC
Molecule: ribosomal RNA, 495 nt
Filed under: uncultured bacterium
Lineage: Bacteria
Description: bacterial SSU rRNA
Rfam family: Bacterial small subunit ribosomal RNA
Source: RNAcentral